This 64-nucleotide small nuclear RNA is filed under the name Mus musculus (house mouse). Its description in RNAcentral is "U7 small nuclear RNA". It matches the Rfam family "U7 small nuclear RNA". Rfam says of the family: Animal histone pre-mRNAs are spliced by a different mechanism than nuclear pre-mRNAs and self-splicing introns. Lineage: Eukaryota; Metazoa; Chordata; Mammalia; Rodentia; Muridae. The record is from Rfam by way of RNAcentral.
GACUUUUUAGAGCUCUUUUAGAAUUUUUUCUAGCAGCUUUUCUGACUUUGGUCAGAAAACCCAU